UUGGCUUCAUAUUGCCGUUGAAGCAAUCAGAAUGGCUUACGCCGGAUGUGGUUGUGUCGGGCAUUUUCCAGAGUGAGGCCGAUAAAAUCGUUCCCCUCGCUAUCCAGUGCUUCAUUCUUUGUGAAGUAAUUUUGGACGUCGGGGAACUACAUCA
Molecule: small nucleolar RNA, 154 nt
Organism: Syzygium oleosum
Lineage: Eukaryota; Viridiplantae; Streptophyta; Magnoliopsida; Myrtales; Myrtaceae
Product: small nucleolar RNA snoR136
Exons: 1
Source: RefSeq, a predicted model, not a curated record